RNAcentral lists this long non-coding RNA (219 nucleotides) under Medicago truncatula (barrel medic). Its description in RNAcentral is "long non-coding RNA (MTRU_LNC006111)". The record is from RNAcentral. Lineage: Eukaryota; Viridiplantae; Streptophyta; Magnoliopsida; Fabales; Fabaceae.
GUAUACAUGCAAACACUCCAACUAAGUAUAAAAUGCGUCAAAUAUAUACAAGAUUUUUAUGGUAGAAAAGUGUGCACCUGGAUGGAGUCUAUUGGAUUAAGGUUUUUGGUCUUUCUAACUCUAAUCCGAACAAUUGUCCAGGGACACAUGUGCAGAGAUUAAAGAUGGUUUGGAAGGAUCCAAUCCUCUGAAAAAAUGGAUCUUAACCUGGUCAGAAAC